UGGAAGUUGAAAGGCUUCCCACUCUCCAAAGGAUAUCAAGGUUCCUUCCUUGUAUAUAGUUUUACUUGAAAUUGCUCCUCGUCAAAUACCUGAACACAGCAAGAAAAGCAAACUAGAAUCUUCCUCUCUAGCUUUCAAAGGGUCUUCUACCACUUGAGAUUUGGGGCGGUCAAGAUUUUCUUGAAGAGACCAUGAAUUCUAUGUUCAGUUCUUUUGAUGCUUUGUGUGCUGAGUUAUUGGGUCAAAAAGUGAGGUCUUCACUCGCUCUUACAACCAUGGAUUGCAAUACCAAGAGGGUUUUGACUGCUGGUGAUAAUAGCAUGGUGGCAGAAGAUAAGUUGAUCAAGAAUCGAGAUGGAAGCUCCUCGAGAUCGUUGGCUAGGAAACAAGAGAAGAAGGUGCCAAGGUUUGCACCAGAGCUCGAUGGACUCAACUGCUUUGAGACCAUUGUUAACUAUUGAGAUUCGAUGACAUGACGCAAUGAAGUUGUGUCUUUAUUUAUAGGGAUAUGUAGAGAAAGAAAAAGGUAGGGAUUAUUCUUUGAUUGAUCCAUCUGAAGUGGUGAUUGUAAUGUUAAAAUGUAAUUCUAAUAUACUAUGUAUGACUAGAAUAUUCUUUUUGUUCAUCUUCUUGAAAUAAUUUUGAGUUUUUAUUAA
Populus euphratica (Euphrates poplar) is the source of this 656-nucleotide long non-coding RNA. RefSeq lists it as uncharacterized. The record is from RefSeq and is a predicted model, not a curated record. Lineage: Eukaryota; Viridiplantae; Streptophyta; Magnoliopsida; Malpighiales; Salicaceae. The transcript is spliced from 2 exons.